Megalobrama amblycephala (Wuchang bream) is the source of this 3227-nucleotide long non-coding RNA. RefSeq lists it as uncharacterized. NCBI's taxonomy places the organism in Eukaryota, Metazoa, Chordata, Actinopteri, Cypriniformes, Xenocyprididae. The transcript is spliced from 3 exons. The record is from RefSeq and is a predicted model, not a curated record.
AUGUCAUUUCCAUGUACUGAACUCUUGUUAUUCAACUAUGCCAAGGUAAAUUCAAUUUUCCAUUCGAUGGCACCUUUAACAUGUUUGUAGCAUUUAAAAUUUGUUGGGUAGCAAAAAUGAAUGGUGCUACCCACAUGUUCUGUGCAUUUUAGGAAAAAGUAUGAAAUGUAUUUAUUUAACUUUUUUAAAAGAAGCCAAUUUUAGCACCAUUAAGAUUUUUUGCAUUGUGACCAUAUUGUCAUGACAAGCACAUUUUACUUGAUAGAUUCUUAUUAACGUAAUACAAUAAAAAAAAUCUCUUUCUUAUUUAAAUAAUAGGGGAAAACAUAAUAUUAUUUGAAUUGUGGUAUAGUAUUUGUUGUCUGCUUUUAAUUUAUAAUAAUUUAUAAAAUCAUUACUGUAAUUGUAUUACAAUAAUAUGAAUUAUGGACAUUAAACUAUGGGAAAAACAAACAUUUUUGGGGUGAAAUGUGAGCUGCACGUGGUAUUUUGUAAGAUUCACAAAUAAAAUAUAUGUCUGAAAUUAAAAUAAUAUUUGUAGAUUUUCAUCUUCACAAUCUGAAGACUUUAUUUCACUGAGAAGUGAGAAAACAAGCAUGGACAAGUACAAAAUAAAAAACAAUACUAAAGGUCUUUAGUACAUCAUUUGUUAAAUGUAGCCACCUUCAGCAUACAGAAAUGGUGGAAAAUAAUCAAUCUUUAUCGAUUGUGUAGGGAACAUAUGAUAUUCAUGCCCGAGCCAUGCCGCGUGGGCCUGAUUCUGAGAAGGAAUGUUCAAUACAAGUUAAACUCUGUCAGUGGCAUUUGUGACACAAUCUCAUUUGACUUUACAGCAUUACCCUUACAAUGGAAGUAUGUGGUGCAAAUGUUAAAAUCCUCACAUUUUAACAGCAUUAUGUGUUAACAUGAGACUUAACAUGAAAUUGAUUGUUAACCUUGCCUGUGUAAAGUUAUAUCCAAUCUUUUAACACCUGUCAAAUAUGGUAAACACAAUAACUUUUGUAUGAUUUGUGUAAAGGACAUUCGUGUAAAGGAUGAAACUAUCCACACAAGUACUGUACAUACAGACAAAUCCACCCACUGAAGUUACACUGGAAACGCAUAUCCAAGAAUUCACAGGUUUAACUUGUUUUGCACCCAGAACAUUCCCUGUAGCCCUGUUGGUCGAUUUGUGGAACUGUUAUUGAUUAUUGAGGAAUUUAGCAUUGUGUAUAAAACUCUACCAUGUGACGAAAUUCCAAGACAAUGAGGAACUAAAUACUGGAUUGUUGUAGGUGUGGUCGGAGUGCUUAAAGUAGAACCAAAUGAUGAUGCAGAGUACCUGAAAAUAGCUUUUGACUUCACUUUUUGUGUUGAAACUUCCCCUCCCAACUAGCCAGCUGUAAUACCAAGCAAUAUAAAGUCUCAUACAAACUAAUCCAUACAGUCUAUGAACCAUAUUCCAGCAGCCAGUUACUAAAAUACACUUUCUAAUAUAACUAAGGGUUUUCGUAAGGGGUUUAUUGCAAUUGGGCCCAGAUUUUCUGAAGUCCUAUGAUGAACACCCUGAAAUAAAAGUUACUCACUCACUCAAGACUUGCACUUGACUGCAACUCCCAAAUCAAAUAGCUAUUUUUAUAUUAGUCAUUAGUUACGAUAUGUCAAGUUUAACAUCAGUGACAUCAAACUUCAUUGGUUUUCAUGUGUCUCAUCAUGAGCAAAUGUCCUUCUAGCGUCAUAUUGUAUGUGAGAGAUACAGCAGGGGAAGAUUUUCAGUGAAUAAUAACUAAAAUUCUUUCUUUUGUGGGUUGAGAACACAAAUGAUAUAGACACAUUUUAAAAGACUUUGUCAUUGUGACCUUCACAUUUGUUUUAUGGAAAAGAGCAACUAGAAAAUUUGGUAUCACUUUACAAUAAAUUCCCAUUAGUUAAUGUUAGCUGAAGCAUUAACUAACAUUAACUAACAAUGAGCAUACAUUUGAAACAGCAUUUAAUCAUCUUUGUUAAUGUUAGUUAAUAAAAGUACUGUUCAUUGUUAGUUCAUUUGAGCUUAGGUCCAUUAAUUAAUAUUAACAGAUACAACUUUUGAUUUUGGUUUCAUUAUUCCUCUUGAGAACCUUAUAAUAAAGUAAAAAUUAAAAUAAUUAAAAAGCCAAAAUAUUUAUAGUGUCUGACCAAAUUGAAUAUCGAUUCCAAAUGGAGACAGUGAGAGAAUGGAUUGGCAAUGGAGGCAAUGGAGGCCCAGGGCUUAUUCACACUGUCUAAAUAAAGCAGGGUAAUCAGGAGCUGGAAAUAGGAUUGUGGGAUGCGGUGAUUAUCUGUCUGUCGCAUGUUACGCUCUGACAAGAACCAGUGACACUAUUUAUUUCCACACAGCUUCGCCUUUGAAGCAGUCUAUGCAUUUACAUGAGAGAGCGCUGCUGAACAUGGCUCGGUGUUGUUGAAGGCAGCCCUGGGGACAGACAGCAGCUAAUUGAGUUUGUGAUGUGGUCAUUGGCCGCUGAUGCCGAUGAAAGCCGGGUCACAGCUAGGAGUUACGUUCAGAAGUCAAUAGGCAAAGGUGACUAUCAUGCAAAUGGGAUUAAUCUAUAUGUGCGACUGUUUUAACCAGGUCAUGUCUAAGGUCGUCUCACUGGGAUUUCAGUGGCAUUACAGCAUUCAGCCUUUUGUUGAGCUGCCUGUUUAUAAAGAGAGAGAGCGAGCGAGACCCAUGUUGCCAUGACUGUUGCCAGCAUAGAGUCCAUCUUAGUGUGUUUCCCAGUUAAAUCAACAGAUCGAGAAGAAAUACUGCCGGCAUGGUUUCAUUUUGGAUGAUAUUUUCUGCCUUUUUGAUACUGCCGAAUAAAUGUAUGUAUUACAGCAGGGUUUCACAAAAUGGGUGUUUGUGAGGAAAUUGCAGGGGGUUUGUGAGUUGAUGAAAAGCUAAUAAUGAAUUAACUAAUCAAAAUCUAAGAUUAACAUAAAUAUAAAAAAAUAAAAAAAAAAAAAUUGUCUGUAACAUUUUGAUAGUCCUUUGCAACUACAUGUCAACUUAUUCUAUUAACCCUAACCUUAAACUAACACUCUACUAAUACUCUAAUGAGAGUUAGUUGACAUGAAGUUGCAAGUUACUUAGAGUUAGUAGAGUGUCUAAAGGCAGGAACACACCAAGCCGACGGUCGGCCGUCUGGCAGUUUUUGUUCGUCGGCCGACUAAGUUUUCUCAGUGUGUUCCGCACCGUCGGCUGAAGUUGGUCCUCGUUGCCUUUU